CUACGGGCGGCUCCAGUGGGGAAUAUUGCACAAUGGGCGCAAGCCUGAUGCAGCCAUGCCGCGUGUAUGAAGAAGGCCUUCGGGUUGUAAAGUACUUUCAGCGGGGAGGAAGGGAGUAAAGUUAAUACCUUUGCUCAUUGACGUUACCCGCAGAAGAAGCACCGGCUAACUCCGUGCUAGCAGCCGCGGUAAUACGGAGGGUGCAAGCGUUAAUCGGAAUUACUGGGCGUAAAGCGCACGCAGGCGAUUUGUUAAGUCAGAUGUGAAAUCCCCGGGCUCAACCUGGGAACUGCAUCUGAUACUGGCAAGCUUGAGUCGCGUAGAGGGGGGUAGAAUUCCAGGUGUAGCGGUGAAAUGCGUAGAGAUCUGGGGGAAUACCGGUGGCGAAGGCGGCCCCCUGGACGAAGACUGACGCUCAGGUGCGAAAGCGUGGGGAGCAAAUAGGAUUAGAUACCCCUGUAGUC
This 464-nucleotide ribosomal RNA is filed under the name uncultured bacterium. RNAcentral describes it as "partial 16S ribosomal RNA". It matches the Rfam family "Bacterial small subunit ribosomal RNA", at positions 339 to 795 of the family's 1533-position model. The record is from RNAcentral.